This 4537-nucleotide long non-coding RNA is filed under the name Sus scrofa (pig). RNAcentral describes it as "lncRNA (ENSSSCG00025001163.1)". The record is from RNAcentral. Lineage: Eukaryota; Metazoa; Chordata; Mammalia; Artiodactyla; Suidae.
AUUCCACAUAUGAGUGAUAUCGUAUGAUAUUUGUAUUUUACUGUCUGGCUUAUUUCACUUAGUAUGAUAUUAUCUAGGUUCAUUCAUGUUGUUUCAAAUGGCAUUAUUACGCUCUUUUUAUGGCUAAGUAAUAUUCCUGUGUGUAGUAUUUUAUGGCUAAGUAAUAUUCCUGUGUGUAUACACACACACACACACAUACACACACACACACACACACACACACACACACACCCCACCACGGCUUUAUCUGUUCAUCUGUCAAUAGAUAUUUAGGUUGCUUCCAUGUCUUAGCUAUUGCAAAUAGUGCAUGCAAUGAACAUUAGGAUGUAUGUGUCCUUUUGUUUUUUUUUUAAUUUUUUUGUCUUUUUGCCUUUUCUGGGGCCACUCCCGCAGCAUAUGGAGGUUCCCAGGCUAGGGGUCUAAUUGGAGCUGUAGCCACUGGCCUACACCAUAGUUCACAGCAACGCUGGAUCCUUAACCCACUGAGCAAGGCCAGGGAUCGAACCCACAACUUCAUGGUUCCUAGUCGGAUUCGUUAGCCACUGAGCCACGACAGUAACUCCCUGUAUGUGUCCUUUUGAAUCAUGGUUCUCUCCAGAUAUAUGCCCAGGAGUGGAAUUGCAGGAUCAUAAGGUAACCUUACUUUUAGUUUUUUAAGGAACCUCCAUACUGUCUUUCAUAUUGGCUGUACCAAUUUACAUUCCACCAGCAGUGCAGGAAGGGGUUCUUUUUCUCCACAUACUCUCCAGCAUUUAUUAUUUGCAGACUUUUUGAUGACCAUUCUGACUGGCGUGAAAUGAUAUCUCUUUGUAGUUUUGAUUUGUAUUUCUCUAAUAAUUAGUGAUGUUGGACAUGUUUUCAUGUGCCUGUUGGCCAUCUAUGCUUUCUUUGGAGAAAUAUCUGCUUAGGUCUUCUUGCCAUUUUUUGAUUGGAUUGUUUGUUUUUUCAUGUGCUGUAUGAUAAACUGAAUGAGUUUUUUUUGUAUAUUUUGGAAAUUAAUUCCUUAUGAGUUGUAUCAUUUGCAAAUACUUUCUCCCAUUCUGCAGGUCGUCUUUGGUCUUAUUUAUGGUUCCCUUGGCUCUGCAGAAGCUUUUAAGUUUAACUAGGUCCUGUUUAUUUAUUUUUGUUUUUACUUCCAAUACUUUAGGAGUUUGGAUCUAAAAAGAUAUUGUCGUGAUUUAUGUUAAAAAGUGUUCUGCCUAUAUUUCUGUCUAGGAGUUUUAUGGUAUCUGGUCUUACACUUAGGCCUUUAAGCUACUUAGAGUUUACGUUUGUGUAUAGUGUUAGAGAAUGUUCCAAUUUCAUUCUUCUACAUAUAGCUGUCCUGUUUCCCCAGCAUCCCUUAUUAAAGAGGGUGCUUUUCUUUAUUCCACUAUAUAUUCUUGCCUCUUUUGUCAUAGAUUGACCAUAUGUAUGUGAGUUUAUUUCUGGGCUUUAUCCUGUUCUAUUGAUUAAUACAUCUGUUUUCAUGCCAGUACCAUACUAUUUUGAUGACUUAGCUUUGCAGUAUAGUCUGAAGUCAAGAAGCCUUAUUCCUCUACCUCUGUUUUCUUUCUCAAGAUAUCAGCAAUCAAUUUUUCAGAACCCAAUUCUUUUGUUUUUUUUCUUUCUCUAUAAUUUGUUUUCUUUUUCUAUAAUUUUUGGAGAUGCUGAUCAGAGUUAAUAUCCUUCCUUGAUUAACUCCAGUAUCUGGAUUACCUAUGCAUCUGAUUUUGGGUUUUGUGGCUUUGUUUUAUUUUCAAUUUUGGUUUUCAGACAGAGUAUCCUAUUUGACAGCAUGUCUAGUAAGUUUUUCUGAAUGUCAGACAUUGUGUAUAACAAAUUUUAAAAAGAAGAGUGGAGAUUGAGCAUGUAAAUCCAACCAAUUACUGAUCUGGGAUGCUAUUUUGUAUAGUACCUGCUUUGCCUGUGUUCUUGGAGCAUACCUCUUUAGCAUUUUGAACUAAUAUCCUGGUGUGUUCUUCCUCCUAAUGGGUCCUAAAUUCUAAUCUUGGUCUUUUCAGCAUGGAAACACUGAAAAAAACCUAAAGUCUUCUUUUCAGGGGCUUUCUGCUUAGUCUCAGAACUUAGCAAUGUCUAAAAAGGAAAACUGGCCAUUUGUUUUCCUAUAAAAGUUCUGCUCCUUUCUCUGACCCUUAACAAUGAUCUUUUAUGCAGAUUCUCAACCUCUUACUCUCAAACCAGAAUUAGGAAAUAUCCCCAAAGUAAAAGCAGAUGCAGAAUAUCAUCCUUCCUCUCUGUGUCUCCUUUUCCAUAAUUUUGUCUGCCAAAGUCUUCAUUUCUUUUGUGGUUUAUUUGAUGCCUUUUUAGGAGUUAUUUUAAAAAUUUGUUUAGUUUUUAUAAUUGUUCCUAGUAAAAACAUUUAUAUGCUGUAAUUUAAUUCUAUACAUAUGUAGAUGUAUCAAGAAUGCAUUUAAAAUAUACUUAUUCAUAUUUAAUUCAACUUUCUACAUUGUUUUUAUCAGAAAGAUUGUUCCAAGUAGCCUGUCUAACGUAACGUCAAAAACUGAUUUAGAUAAGUGUUUUUCUGAAGAGAAUUAUUUUUGUGGUUUAUAAUAUGAAGUAGAAGAACAGAAACUAAACACAACUCAGGUUAACAAACAGAAUAUUAUCUCUAUCCUAGAAGUGCUCUUCCCCUGAUUACUACUCCACUUUAUGUAAAAGUAAUCACUAUCCUGGCUUCCUAUACCAUUACUAAACAAAAUAUUCUACUAUGUGAAUAAACUACAACUUACUCAUCCAUUAUAUUAUAUUCCAAUUUGGCACAAUUAUGAAUAAUGGUCCUAUAACCAUUCUUACACAGAUACUUUAAUGUACUCAUGCACUUCAGAUUUAUAUAUGAUUAGGUAUGGAAUUGAUGGGUCAUAGGAUAGGCUUAUGGUCAAUUUUAAUAGGUAAUUCCAGGUUUUCAAAAUAGUCACAUUAAUUUAUAGACCCACAGGCAGUAAUUGAGAGUUCCACUUGCUUCACAAGCUUGGCAACAUUUGGCAUAGUCAGUCUGUUUAUUUUUCAUCAUAUUGAUAGUUGUGUGAUGGAUUUGAGAUACUAAUUAAUAUUUCCUUAACUACUUUUAAUGUAUUUGGUGACCAUUUGGAUAUCUUCUUUUGUGAAGUACCUCUUCAAAUGUCCUGCCUAUUUUGUAUUGGUUUUGUCUUCUCUUUCUUCUUCUCUGUCUCCUCCUCCUCCUUCUCCUCCUCCUCUUCCUCCUUCUCCUCCUCCUCUGUCUCCUUCUCCUCCAUCUCCUUCUCCUCCAUCUCCUUCUUCUCCUUCCCCUCCUUCUUCUUAUUUUUUUUGCCAUGUGCAAACAUGUGGAAGUACCCGGGCCAGGGAUCAAACCUAUACCAUAGCAGCAAUACAGUGACAACACUUCAGUGUCAGUAUCAGAUCUUUAACCUGUUGCACCACAAAAGAACUCCAUUUGUUGUCUGUUUUUAUUUAUUAUGCCUACAAUAGCCCUUUGCCAAUUAUAUGUAGGAUUAUAAUCUUGAUAGUAAAAAGGUACACUGUUAAUUAUUACACUAGGAUUUUCUUAAACAAACUUGCAUAUAUAACAACAUAAUUUUGUAUUGUUUUGAAUUUAUUUAGGCAUCAUUCAUGUACAAAAAUGCACACAUUUGAAAUGUGCGAUGGAAUUACUUUUAACAAAACUAUAUAUUUAUGUAAUUACCACCACAUCUGAGCUAUAAAAUGUUUCUGUCACCCCAUGUAUCCUUUCCUAUUGAAUUUUCCAACUUCACCUAGGGUCAGUGACCCUAGGCAAUCAUUGACUUAUUUUCUGUCACAUAAAAUAUGCUUUUCUAGAAUUUUAUGUAAAUAAGAUCAUAUAGGAUAUACUAUUAUAUCUAGCUUCUUUUGCUCAGCAUAAUGUUUUUGAGAUUUAUCCAUGAUGUUACCAUGUUCCAUAUAACAUGUAUCUAUGUUGCAUCUGUGUUGUUUUAACACAGUUCAUUGCUUUUUAUUUCUAAGUGGCAUUUCAUUUCAUAGAUAUACCAUAAUUUGUUCAUCUACUUGACUCUUCAUGAAUUUUUUUGUUUCCAGAUUUUGGAUUAUUAAGAAUAAUGCUUCCAAAAAUGAAUAUAUAUGAAUCUUUGUGGCAGCUAUAUUCAUUUUUCAUGGAUAAACACCAAAGAGUUGAAUUAUUAAGUUGUUUGGUAACUGUAUGUUUAACUAUUUAAGGAGCCACCAAAAGUUUUUAUAUAAAGCUGUAGAUUUUAUAUUAAUUGCAGUGACUUAUGAGGGCCCUAAUUAAUACACAUCCUCAGCAACACUUGGUACUGUUAAUAUUUUUAAUUUUAGCUUUUGUAGCUUUAUCUCUGAUGACUAAUAAUCUUGAGAAUCAGCAAUGUUUUUCUUCCACUUAGGAAAAAAAUUAAUUUUCUCCUAAGCCUACCCAGUGAAAAUUAUAUUUCAGAUUAUUGUGUUUUUAAUCUCUAGAAAUUACAUUUGGUUUUUUAAAAAGAUCUUUCCUCGUGUUCACAUUUUUUGUUAAAGCUUUGAAUAUAUUAAACAUAUUUAUAAGAACUCUUUUAGUACUCAU